UACGUAGGGUGCAAGCGUUGCCCGGAUUUAUUGGGCGUAAAGGGCGCGUAGGCGGCUCUGCACGUUCGUUGUGAAAUCGCCCGGCUCAACUGGGCGGGGUCAGCGGAUACGGCAGAGCUUGAGCAAGCUAGGGGGCAAUGGAAUUCCCGGUGUAGCGGUGAAAUGCGUAGAUAUCUGGAGGAACACCGGUGGCGAAGGCGGCGUCCUGGACCAACACUGACACUGAUGAGCGAAAGCCAGGGGAGCAAACGGG
Molecule: ribosomal RNA, 253 nt
Filed under: uncultured bacterium
Lineage: Bacteria
Description: partial 16S ribosomal RNA
Rfam family: Bacterial small subunit ribosomal RNA
Source: RNAcentral